This 99-nucleotide microRNA precursor is filed under the name Canis lupus familiaris (dog). RNAcentral describes it as "mir-8799 microRNA precursor family". It matches the Rfam family "mir-8799 microRNA precursor family". The record is from Rfam by way of RNAcentral. Lineage: Eukaryota; Metazoa; Chordata; Mammalia; Carnivora; Canidae. RNAcentral also lists the same sequence under 1 other name.
GCGCAGGAUCGCAGGAUCUUGGGCUGUGUCCCCCAGCGCCCUGGGCUCCCGGGCCUGCGCCACUGGAAUCGCACUCCUAGAGCCGCCCCAGAGCUGCUC